CGUCAUAUUUUCUCCAAAAAAAGACCAUAGUGUAGUCCCAAUUAACUGGCUUGUUGAAACAGAAACACAAAAAUUGUAUACAAUUUUGUUACUGGCCAUCAAUAAGGGUAACUAGUACAGAUUUACAAGAGGCUGUAAGUCCAGAUCCGUCCUGGAAUCAAUAUAAAAUCCGUGUAGUUGGUGGCAACAAAACUUACAGUAAUUUAAGUAAAGCUUGGCAUGAGCGAAUUGAAAUAGAAUCAACUGACAAAGAGAGCAUUGUAAAUGAUAAUCAUCUGUUUAAAAGAAAUAAAAAAAAGAAAAUUGUUGAUUCUAGUGAUAGUAGUGAAAAUGAAGGUAAAUAUUUAUUAGCUCUGUCAAAUUAUUAAUAUUAAUUGUUUAUUUGAUUUACUUUGUUUUAAGAUUCAAGUUAUACUAUUGUACCUUGUAAUAUACAAAAUGAAUUGCUGUUUAAUACUACAAGAACUCAACAAAAUUCAAUACAUACCGAUGCAAUUCAAACAGUAAAUACUAACACAAUUACACAACAACAACCGUCUACAUCGACUUAUACACAUGACAAUAAUUUUUCAUCAAUUGAAUUUAAUAAACCGGGUUCCAUUAUUAGUCAAGUUGAUUGUUAUACAAAUGUUCUAUCAAGUUCUUCUUUUUCGGCAGUACCAGCAUUUUCUGAUAACCAAAAAAAAUCUUAUACAGAUCUGGAAGUUAAAUCAUUAACUUCACCAAAUUCAACAAUGAUACAACACUCAAGUAUGAUAGAACCGUUGACAUAUGACUCAUCAUAUAUAGAACCACAGGAUAAUUAUUUAGAAAUUCAAAAUGAACCAUUAACAUUUUCCCAAGAUUCUCCUGAAGGUAAUAUACAAUUUUUUAAUU
Molecule: long non-coding RNA, 876 nt
Organism: Myzus persicae (green peach aphid)
Lineage: Eukaryota; Metazoa; Arthropoda; Insecta; Hemiptera; Aphididae
Exons: 3
Source: RefSeq, a predicted model, not a curated record